Molecule: ribosomal RNA, 831 nt
Filed under: Nonomuraea sp. IM-0975
Lineage: Bacteria; Bacillati; Actinomycetota; Actinomycetes; Streptosporangiales; Streptosporangiaceae
Description: bacterial SSU rRNA
Rfam family: Bacterial small subunit ribosomal RNA
Source: RNAcentral
GGCGGCGUGCUUAACACAUGCAAGUCGAGCGGAAAGGCCCUUCGGGGGUACUCGAGCGGCGAACGGGUGGGUAACACGUGAGCAACCUGCCCCUGACUCUGGGAUAAGCCCGGGAAACUGGGUCUAAUACCGGAUACGACCGCCCCGGCAUCGGGUGGUGGUGGAAAGUUUUUUCGGUUGGGGAUGGGCUCGCGGCCUAUCAGCUUGUUGGUGGGGUAGUGGCCUACCAAGGCGACGACGGGUAGCCGGCCUGAGAGGGCGACCGGCCACACUGGGACUGAGACACGGCCCAGACUCCUACGGGAGGCAGCAGUGGGGAAUAUUGCGCAAUGGGCGGAAGCCUGAGCCAGCGACGCCGCGUGGGGGAUGACGGCCUUCGGGUUGUAAACCUCUUUCAGCAGGGACGAAGGUGACGUGUACCUGCAGAAGAAGCGCCGGCUAACUACGUGCCAGCAGCCGCGGUAAUACGUAGGGCGCAAGCGUUGUCCGGAAUUAUUGGGCGUAAAGAGCUCGUAGGUGGCUGGUCGCGUCUGCCGUGAAAGCCCGCAGCUUAACUGCGGGUCUGCGGUGGAUACGGGCCGGCUAGAGGUAGGUAGGGGCAAGUGGAAUUCCUGGUGUAGCGGUGAAAUGCGCAGAUAUCAGGAGGAACACCGGUGGCGAAGGCGGUUCUCUGGGCCUUACCUGACGCUGAGGAGCGAAAGCGUGGGGAGCGAACAGGAUUAGAUACCCUGGUAGUCCACGCUGUAAACGUUGGGCACUAGGUGUGGGGAUCUUCCACGAUUCCGUGCCGGAGCUAACGCAUUAAGCGCCCCGCCUGGGGAGUACGGCCGC